RNAcentral lists this ribosomal RNA (460 nucleotides) under uncultured bacterium. Its description in RNAcentral is "partial 16S ribosomal RNA". It matches the Rfam family "Bacterial small subunit ribosomal RNA", at positions 338 to 795 of the family's 1533-position model. The record is from RNAcentral.
CCUACGGGGUGCAGCAGUGAGGACUAUUGGUCAAUGGACGAGAGUCUGAACCAGCCAAGUAGCGUGAAGGAUGACUGCCCUAUGGGUUGUAAACUUCUUUUAUAAAGGAAUAAAACGAGGCACGUGUGCCUUUUUGCAUGUACUUUAUCAAUAAGAGUCGGCUAACGACGUGCCAGCAGACGCGCUAAUACGGAGGAUCCGAGCGUUAUACGGGUUUAUUGGGUUUAAAGGGAGCGUAGAUGGGUUGGUAAGUCAGGUGUGAAAGUUUGCGGCUCAACCGUAAAAUUGCAAUUGAUACUGGCAGUCUUGAGUACAGUCGAGGUAGGCGGAAUGCGUGGUGUAGCGGUGAAAUGCUUAGAUAUCACGAAGAACCCCGAUUGCGAAGGCAGCUGACUAAACUGUGACUGACAUUGAUGCUCGAAAGUGUGGGUAGCAAACAGGAUUAGAUACCCCGGUAGUC